AAAAAAAUGUAGCCCUCAUUUCCACAUUGGAAAUGUGUCUUUGGCAUUCUCCUGUAAUUUCUCAGUGGACUGUGUUGGGUAAAAUGUUCCUUUCACAUGUCAAAGUUCCCCAGGGAAGGAUUGAAUCAUGAAAGGCAGAACUGGGAGCGGCAUGGCUUGUUUGGGGGAUGAAGGUGGCCCAAGGUCCACAGGCAGUCAGGAGUGGGAGGUGGCGCUGGCCGGGGGCAGUCCCUGCUUCUGGUGGAUGGCACUAGCUUGUGUGCCUGGGAAAGAAUGUCUUCAUCGUCUUACUCUGCCCAGGGCCACACAAAGGGGACUCCAUCUCCCCAGACGGUGACAAGCAGUUCAGGGCUCUGCAUCUGGGAAGAGGUUUGAGUUGCCAUCCCGAGGGCAGGACGGCUCCUUGCUCCUCUCUCAUCUGUAUCCUGGGUGUAAGGCGGAAGAUUCUGGACCAGGGCUUCUACAGUUUAGGUUGAGAGACACCAGUGGGUUGUCACCUGCCUUUACAUUGUGUGUGUGAAAAGCACCACAGAGGGAGCCUGCUGUGUGAGACCUCUGACCUCGGUGUGCAGGGGUGUCAGGUGACAUGCCUCUCUCUCCAGGGUCCGAGAGAAGUCUGAAAGCCACUCUUCUAGAAAGAGGCUCCCAAGCAUAUUAUUUCAGGAGAUAAGCUCCUCUUGAGUGAAAACGUGAGACACCUCCUCAAGUGAUGGGCCCAGAGUGGUUUCGUAGUCAGGCCUGCAGUGAUGGCUCCCUCUGAAUGUCCCUGAGAUGUCUGUCCUUUUCAUCAUCCACAAAAGAGCUUCACUGGUGAAGAAUUCCCUUCUCUGAAAUAAGCGGGAGCCACGUGCUGGGGCGUCACGGCAGGAACAUGAUUUCUGUUCUUCUUCUCAGGAAGCAUUUAUCAAGGUCUGUUGAAGGUCACCUAGGGGUGAGGUCACCCAGCCCGCAGGCUUCCAACCCCCGGGGGCUGUGCGGACCCAGCCCCUCCACCCAGAGGCUGUCCCUGGGGGACGUGGGCUCCGGGGCAACCAAUUCAAGGAAUGUGUGUGUGUGGUGGGGCAGGGAGAGAGGUCGGGACACUCCCCCAUCCUGGCCCUAUGUGUCCUUCCUUCGCCACCUCUGUGCUGAUCCUGUCCCUGCUGGACAGCCCAGCUGGAGUGGAUGAUUUUCUGGACAGAGUCAGGCCACACAGCUUUGAGUUUCACACGCUGCUUUCCAGUAAACCAGCCCUCCCCGCCCUCCUCUACUGUCCACGCUCCCCUGCAGGGCAGACCGGCCAGGCUCCUCCACCAGUUCCCACACUCUUCCUCUGCCCUCUGUUCUUUUUAGGGCUGCACUUGUGGCAUAUGGAGGUUCCCAGGCUACGGGUCUAAUCGGAGCUGUAGCCGCCGGCUUAUGCCACAGCCACAGCAACGUGGGAUCCGAGCCGCGUGUGUGACCUAAACCACAGCUCAUGGCUGCGCCAGAUCCUUAACCCACUGAAUGAGGCCAGGGAUCGAACCUGCAACCUCAUGGUUCCUAGUUGGAUUCGUUAACCAUUGGGCCACAACAGGAGCUCCCUUCUGCUUGUUAUUGCUGCUGAAAAACACACCCCAAAGCUUAGUGGCUUAAAACAGCAAAUGAGGAGUCCCCGUAGUGGCUCACUGGGUUAAGAACCCAACAUAGUGUCCAUGAGGAUGCGGGUUUGCUCCCUGGCCUUGCUCAGUGGGUUAAGGAUUGGGUGUUGCUGCAAGCUGCGGCAUAGGUUGCAGUCCGGCUUGGAUCUCGUGUUGCCGUGGUCGUGGUGUCCAUAGGCUGGCAGCUGCAGUUCUAAUUCAGUCCCUAGCCUUGGAACAUCCAUAUGCUGCAGGUGCAGCCUUAAAAAAAGAAAAAAAAAAAAAAAAAAAAAAAAAAAAAGCAAAUGAUUCCUCUUUUGCAUGCUGACUGGGCCUGGCCGAGUUGUCCUGGCCUAGCAUUUCUGACACGAUCGCAAUCAGAUGUGCCCAGGCUAGUGUCAACUGAGGCCGCCACGAAGGGGAUGUUGGGAUGGUGCCUUUGUCUGCAAGCCUGGGAAGAUGUUGGUGCUCUGCUGUCAGUUCUCAUGCGCUCUUGGCUGGAAUGCUCACAUGUAGCCUCUCCAUGUGUCUUUGACUUUGACCCAGCAUGGCGGCUGUGGCUCAAGAGUCCCAAUGGCCAGCAUCCCAAGAGUCCUAGGCAGCUGCAAGCCCUCUGAUAACCCUGUCUUGGAAGAUCUGGAGCUUCUUGUGGAUGAGCACGUUGCCAAGGCCAGGUGCCAGUGAUGAGGACCAGACCCCUGGCUGGGGACCUGCAGGCUGCACCUCAGGAGAGCGGGCGUGGGUUGUGAGCUCCUGUUCAGCCAUUUUUGGAAGAUACCACCUGCCAUUGCGGACGCACCUGAAAUCUCUGUUUUCACUUAUUUUCUUGUCCAUCCCUGUGGGUUGGAAGCUUCUGGACAGCAAGGUCCCCACACCUGGACAUUCUUGCUAGAAUGAAAAAAAAGAAAAAAAGAAAAAUUCCCUGUUGUAUUUUGACCUGGGGAUUAAACGCAAUCUGAUUAAUGUCAGAGGAAUAACAUUUUAGCAGAGAAGUUCAAGCAUCCGUAACUGGAAUUGCUGCUAGAUGUUUAGAGGGCAGUGCUCUUUUAUCCUUAUUCAUCCAUUCUUUCUUUCUUUCCUUUUUUUUUUAAUUCAGAAGAUCAUUCCCACCACAUCCCAGAAACAGCACU
Molecule: long non-coding RNA, 2728 nt
Filed under: Sus scrofa (pig)
Lineage: Eukaryota; Metazoa; Chordata; Mammalia; Artiodactyla; Suidae
Description: lncRNA (ENSSSCG00035063332.1)
Source: RNAcentral